This 397-nucleotide ribosomal RNA is filed under the name uncultured bacterium. Its description in RNAcentral is "partial 16S ribosomal RNA". It matches the Rfam family "Bacterial small subunit ribosomal RNA", at positions 523 to 918 of the family's 1533-position model. The record is from RNAcentral.
AUACGUAGGGGGCGAGCGUUGUCCGGAAUGAUUGGGCGUAAAGGGCGCGUAGGCGGCCCGGUAAGUCUGGAGUGAAAGUCCUGUUUUCAAGAUGGGAAUUGCUUUGGAUACUGAUGGGCUUGAGUGCAGGAGAGGUUAUCGGAAUUCCCGGUGUAGCGGUGAAAUGCGUAGAGAUCGGGAGGAACACCAGUGGCGAAGGCGGGUAACUGGACUGCAACUGACGCUGAGGCGCGAAAGUGUGGGGAGCAAACAGGAUUAGAUACCCUGGUAGUCCACACUGUAAACGAUGAAUGCUAGGUGUAAGAGGUAUCGACCCCUUUUGUGCCGGAGUUAACACAAUAAGCAUUCCGCCUGGGGAGUACGGCCGCAAGGUUGAAACUCAAAUGAAUUGACGGGG